This 1566-nucleotide long non-coding RNA is filed under the name Equus asinus (donkey). RNAcentral describes it as "lncRNA (ENSEASG00005033990.1)". The record is from RNAcentral. Lineage: Eukaryota; Metazoa; Chordata; Mammalia; Perissodactyla; Equidae.
CCCCCCCCCCGCCACCCCUCUCUCUGGCUCUCUGGCGGGUCGGCAUAGACAAAGACUGAAAGACACAGAAAAUGCCUCUCUCCAGCACUCUUUUCCCGGGAAAUAAGAGACCUCUCCUCCUCUGUGAGUGGCACCCUCUAAAUGUGACCCACCAGAAUCUGGGACGUUGUGUGUCCACACCUCCGCAGAGUGCCUUUCUGGUGAAGGACGGAGGGACAUGCGCCUUUCUUUCGGCCAGCGGAACACAGCCUAAGGGACGGAUGUCUCUCCCGGGAUCAUGUGACAUCGCACAAGACGAAGUCUUGGCCGCUCUGUGGAGAGAGGGAGAGAGGGAUGCACUUUGCUGGCUCGAGGAAUUCUGUGACCAUCGCUCAGAAGCCCGGACGCCAAGGAGCCGAGGAUGGCACCCAGUCAAAAGGCAUCACCGAUGCACGCCUCCACGGCCGCAGAGAGGAGGGCCCGAAUCCUGCCAACCGCAUGCCUGCAAGCUUCCUGCUCUCCCCUAGCCUCCAGGGGAGAGUGCACACCAGCCCAGCCGUUCAUUCCAGCCAAGAGGCAAAGACCCAGCUAAACCGUCCUGUCCGCAGUCCUGACCCAAAAGAGACGGCAGAAAGGGAACGAGUGUCCUUUCAAUCCGGCAAAAGCACGAUGGUGGCAGCUCGUCACGCAGCAAUACACAUCAGCCUGCCCGAACCUUACAAGAAAGCUGUCUGUUUCAGGCCUGGCUCUGGGGGGGAAGUGUCGCACGUGCACUUGAGAAGAUGUUGAAUGUUGCUGUCGUUGCUCUGGGUUUUCUUCCUCUUUUCAGUGACGCGUCGGGGGUGCUGGCUCAUGACACCGCAUACAUUUGGCCUGAUCGGUGAGGACCUUGGAUCGAUGUCUCUCGUCUCCGUGUUUCCAAGUGUACCAAGUUUCUGUAGGUGUCGUGUGAUGCUGUAGGAGGCCACUGGGAAGUAGGUCUCUAUGAAGACCUAUCUCCUUGGACCACGAACAGGCCAGAGGUCCACUGCUUUGGGCCACGUCUGACUCAAGGUCUUCAAGAAAGUGCGGAUCCUCAGGGUCAGUGAAGAAAUCAGCCACCGGAGGGGAGGCGGCAAAGGGCUCAUGUCCACUAGCUGAUAUGGAAGUGUUUUUGUGUGGAAGCGCGGUGACGUGUCAGUGUCCCCUGCCUCGGACCUACUUCAGGUUCACCGGCACAGGAUGAGAAAACCCAACCCAGCAUCACUGGACACAGACAUGCAAACACAGAGACGGAUACGGGCACGCGGACAGGACGUUCAGACGCGCAGGGACAGAAUAAGGUAGCCGACGGAGCGGGUUAUGGUCAAAGUCAGAGAAAGAGAAACACAGACUCGGGCGUGCCAAGGGACAGGGACGUGGGCAAAUAGGCACCCGGGAUCUCCCAGAAUCUCCCAGAAUAAAAGGAGAAGAAGAGCAAGGCCCUGGCUCCAUCCAACCGAGGAGCCGGCAGGCUCGUGAAUCCGUGAGGUGACUGUGUGGGAAAAGAAGGAGCCACUCGGCGGCCCAGGGGCCCUCCCGCUAAGGGAAGAUGAGGUUAGGGACGUG